This 391-nucleotide unclassified non-coding RNA is filed under the name uncultured fungus. RNAcentral describes it as "partial contains small subunit ribosomal RNA, internal transcribed spacer 1, and 5.8S ribosomal RNA". The stretch from base 1 to 73 matches the Rfam family "Eukaryotic small subunit ribosomal RNA", at positions 1759 to 1831 of the family's 1831-position model. The record is from RNAcentral. Lineage: Eukaryota; Fungi.
UCAAACUUGGUCAUUUAGAGGAAGUAAAAGUCGUAACAAGGUUUCCGUAGGUGAACCUGCGGAAGGAUCAUCACUGAUUCAGGGGUCUGUGUUCCUGUGUGUGCUGCGCGUAAGCGUGUGUGCACAUAGCGAGCCGCCCCAAACCAAUCUUGUGUGCACCGUUUUCACUGGUCAAAGAAUGACUGUGGUGAUUGUGUGUGUUGGUGGGUGGGAGUAGUGAGUGCGUGCGCGCGCGCGCGCUGCCCCCCCCCACCGACUGACUGCACGCACCCGUCGUUCUAAAUUUAUAAUAAUCUUGUGUGUUAACUCUGUCUAAUGUACGUUACUUGAAAUAACAUAUACAACUUUUAACAAUGGAUCUCUUGGCUCUCGCAUCGAUGAAGAACGCAGC